This 71-nucleotide transfer RNA is filed under the name Enterococcus faecalis. RNAcentral describes it as "tRNA-Gly". It matches the Rfam family "tRNA". Rfam says of the family: Transfer RNA (tRNA) molecules are approximately 80 nucleotides in length. Their secondary structure includes four short double-helical elements and three loops (D, anti-codon, and T loops). RNAcentral also lists the same sequence under 4 other names. Lineage: Bacteria; Bacillati; Bacillota; Bacilli; Lactobacillales; Enterococcaceae. The record is from RNAcentral.
GCGGAAAUAGCUCAGUGGUAGAGCACCACCUUGCCAAGGUGGGGGUCGCGGGUUCGAACCCCGUUUCCGCU